This 268-nucleotide long non-coding RNA is filed under the name Lathyrus oleraceus (garden pea). Its description in RNAcentral is "Pisum sativum (pea) long non-coding RNA (PSAT_LNC022575)". The record is from RNAcentral. Lineage: Eukaryota; Viridiplantae; Streptophyta; Magnoliopsida; Fabales; Fabaceae.
AAAGACCAAAAAUAAUCGGAUAAGAACGGAUAGUGGUUGAUUUUAAUAUUGAGUUAAUGAUCAACUAAUACAAUAGCAAUAAAGGAAAGCGAUAAACAUAUUACACAUUACGAGAAUAGGGUACAACUUUGUUGAAUGGGAAUACAGUACAACAAUUAACAACAUAGGCUCAACAGACAACUGUAAAUAACAAAAAUCUCGUUGUAAGAAGGCCCAAGAGAAAUCCAAUGAACCAAAAAUGAAUUUGGAGUUUUGAACUAAUGAAUUU